This is a long non-coding RNA of Triticum dicoccoides, 1268 nucleotides long. RefSeq lists it as uncharacterized. The transcript is spliced from 3 exons. The record is from RefSeq and is a predicted model, not a curated record. Lineage: Eukaryota; Viridiplantae; Streptophyta; Magnoliopsida; Poales; Poaceae.
CACAGCUGCUCUGCCCUUUCCCUCUCUGUCUCUCUCCACAAACACGACGGCAAUCGGCGGGAUCGUCCACAGCUGCUCUGCCCUUCUCGACAGUUCUCUCCGGAGGGAUCGUCGGAGUCCAGAAGGCAGUCGGUGGCGAGGGGACGGAGCCAUGUGCAAACGUGGGCUUUGAUUUACCCUGGCACACACUCAACCACGCCAGUGGUAGCACACCUCCUUCCUCCUCCAAAUCCAUCCCACGGGAAUCCAUGGAAGGUCUGGAGCCGAGAGCGUUCAGGCUGCGAGUAUUGGAAGCUGGCCCUUUGGCUGUGGUGAGGCCGUUGGAGUUGCAGGCUUCUCCCAGCAUCACCGAUGCAGAAAUAUGCCGUGCCGGAGAACUCGAUGGUGGCAGCCAAAGCGACGCCCCCCCUGGAUUCAGCGUUAUACAUUUGUCUAUUUCCUAUCUCACCGAUUCUGGUCCAUAUUAUCCAUCUCUUAGUUGAUUUUUUCUGUAUAUGCCCAUAUGUUAAUUAACUGAAUUUUUUCAUGUACUGCAUUCUGCUGAUAAAGGCGAAAAGGGGAUUGAAAAUUAACUAUGUGGCUAGGAUGGAGUACACUUCUGUUGGCCGUGUAUCGUUGCUAGAGUAUAUAGACUUUUAGGCCCGAAUUUUGAACCAUGUUGAAGUCUUUGUCGCAGCAAUUUUCAGGAUCUUGAAUUGCUGCAAUCUGUUCAAUAUUCAUGAUCAUGCGGAUUUGCUCUCCCAGUAUUUAUUAGGUUGCAAACCAUUGAUCUGACAGAAAAGCAUAAACAUAAAUUGGGGACCACAAAUGCAGUGGUGUCAAUAAAAAAAUAUAGUGUCAAAUUGAUCUUUUCUAUGUCUGAAUUACAUUGUUGAUUGCAUUGGGCUUUCUAAUUAUAUACUCCCUCCGUUUCAAAUUACUCGUCGCAGAAAUGGAUGAAGCGUGUCAGUUCUACAUUAUGUUUUCAUGGGGGGUUGGUUUUGGCGUAAGGUUUGCCAAAAGGAGGCUCAACGCACACAGGGCAAGGUAAGAUGAUGAGGGACAACACCCAGUAAAAGUCUGUUAUGGUUAUGCGGUGGGCUGUGAUCUGGGAUUGAUCAUGUGACUACUUGUUGACUUCAAGAUUGUGGUCGUGUCAUAUAUUUUUAAUCAUCCUUUUUUAUUGUUGAUCAGAUCUGCUAGAAAGACUAGCUAACUAGUUGUGAAAGAGCAUCUUGAUUCGGAUAAUGAAAUUUAAAUCAUCCAUUUUAUUGUUGAUCGCCUGAUGU